Molecule: ribosomal RNA, 202 nt
Filed under: uncultured Pseudomonas sp.
Lineage: Bacteria; Pseudomonadati; Pseudomonadota; Gammaproteobacteria; Pseudomonadales; Pseudomonadaceae
Description: partial 16S ribosomal RNA
Rfam family: Bacterial small subunit ribosomal RNA
Source: RNAcentral
CGAAAGGAACGCUAAUACCGCAUACGUCCUACGGGAGAAAGCAGGGACCUUCGGGCCUUGCGCUAUCAGAUGAGCCUAGGUCGGAUUAGCUAGUUGGUGAGGUAAUGGCUCACCAAGGCGACGAUCCGUAACUGGUCUGAGAGGAUGAUCAGUCACACUGGAACUGAGACACGGUCCAGACCUCCUACGGGAGGCAGCAGCC